GCCCAACCUUGCCUUCAAGUGGCUCAUGGACCAGUGAGAGAGACUGACACACAACAGGUAACAGUGUCCAGCCUCACUGACACUCCGAUGAGGUGCCGUGGCCUCACCCAGGACACCUAACCCUGACUGGGUAGGGUGUAGGGGCGACAGUGGGGGUCAGACCUGCUUUCCCAAGGAAGUGAUGCCCAUCUGCAUAUUUAAGGAUAGCCCACUUCGCACGCACAGAUGACGUCAAUAACCCUGAUAAACACAGCUGACACAGAGAAUGGACUAUGAGCCAGGCAAUGCUCUAAGCGCUUUUUGCAUACAUUGGGUCUCACUCUGUCUCCCACCCUGGAGUGCAAUGGUGUGAUUAUAGCUCCCUGCAACCUCCACCUCCCAGGCUCAAGCAAUCUUCCCACCUCAGACUACCAAGUAGCUGGGACUACAGAAGUUUCUUCCUGUUGAAGAGUGGAUGUGGCCUGUUUGGAAACCACGGACUGCCUGGAUGCCGUGGACUGCUUGGAUGCUGUGGACUGCCUGGAUGCUGUGGACUGCUUGGAUGCCGUGGACUGCUUAGAUGCCGUGGACUGCUUAGAUGCCGUGGUCUGCUUAGAUGCCGUGGACUGUUUAGAUGUUGUGAUUCCUUCCUCACUAGCAAGAAGAUUCCUCUGGGCUAUAUAAGCAGCAGCUUCUUUAAUUCUUUCUUCUUCUGUAUCUGUAAUUCCACUGACAUGCUUUUGACUAAAACACAAUAAUGGCAAAAUGUAGAUGUUGUGGAUGGCAGUGAUAAGAUUGAGUAAUUUUACUAAGUUCAAAGUACCACACCUCAGACACUAUAUCCUGCACCAAAAGAAAACCCGAUAUAGAAAAGAAGGUAUAUCAGAAGCUGACGCUUCAUGUACAGAAGUAUUCCUUGCCUUAACAAAUAACAACAAUAAUAACACCUAUAAUGGCCCUGGUGCUUUUCACAUACAUUAUCUUGUUUCAUCCCCAUACAAGCCUUAUGAGAUAAACUUUUUUUUUUUUUAUAUGGAGUCUCGCUCUUGUUGCCCAGGCUGGAGUGCAGUGGUGUGAUCUCAGCUCACUGCAACCUUGGCCUCCUGGGUUCAAGAAAUUCUCCUGCCUCAGCCUCCCAAGGAGCUGGGAUUACAGGCUCCUGCUACCAUGCCCGGCUAAUAUUUUGUAAUUUUAAUAGAGACAGGGUUUCACCAUGUUGGCCAGGCUGGUCUCGAACUCCUGACCUCAGGUGAUCCACCAGCCUUGGCCUCCCAAAGUGCUGGGAUUACAUGCGUGAGCCACCGUGCCCUGCCAAGAUAAAUUAUUAUUGCUGUUUUAAAUAUAUCGUAACAAGGUUCAGAUAAGUUGGAUAACUUGGCCAAGGUCGUCUCAUUGGUUGUCUUAGUGUGUUUAAACAUGAUUUUGUUUAAAAUAAAAGAUUAUGGUUCCUUUCCAGAAAAACCAUAUUGUCAAAUGAGAUCUAGUUUGUGUGCCUGUGACCCUGAUACAUGAGUAGGAGCUUGAUCUGGGUUCUGUCACUUUGCUGAUGUAAUGCAUUGCCUGGAGUUGUUACAUGUAUGAAUAAGCUCUGAAUUUACAUGAGGUUCCUUAUGCCUACUGGGUUUCUUUCUAAGAUAAUACAUAUUGUAUGUGCAUAUACUAUGUGUGUACCUAUACUAUAUACUAAGAAAUUAUCAAACUCGUGAUGGAAGUGGUGACGUUUAUAAGUGUGACUCGUUAUUAUUCAUAUUUGAUGACGAUAGUAAGGGAGUGGUAACAUCCCAAGUGCAAUGUCUACUGUGGCAGUUUAUGAUAGAAUCUGUGCUGUGAUUUAUUCAUAUUGUUUAAAAAUAUUUGAAUUAUUUUAACGUAUUUCAAUGCCUUUUGUUGUAAACCCCCUCAAAUGUUUUAGUGAGAGAGUGUAUUGAUUACGUCGAAGAUUCUCUUGACAUUGAGUCUCCUUAGACCUCUUAAGUCAGAAUCGUGCAUUCUAAGAAUGAUUACUUCAGAAUGUAAACAAAUGCUGCCAUUGUGUUAGCAAGUUCCUGACAUCUAAAUCUAUGCCCCUUGCUGAGGAAUAAGAUUCCACAUUUGCCAAGAUUGGGGUUUCUCAUGGACUAUUGCUAAAACAUCUGGCAGACGAGGUGAGUCCACGUUGUUUCUGACUAAAUGCAACAGAAGGCUGUGUUUGGCUCUCUUUGGUUUGGGGCUCAACUUGGAUGAAUAAUCAUCUAACAGCAGACUGGAAUCUGAAAAGAAAACCAAGAUCCAAAUAUAUACAUAACAGAGGGAAGGCCACAUGGAGACAAAGGGGGAAGACAGCCAUCCAUGAGCCGAAAAGAGACCUGAGAAGAAACCACCCAGCUGACACCUUGAUCUUGGACUUCCAGCCUCCAGAGUUGUAAGGGUACAGCUUCAUUACCCCAUUGAGGAAAGCAAGGCUUCCAGAAGGGGAGGCAUUUGCCAAAGAUCACACAGCUGGUAGAUGACAGAAACGCAACUUCAUUCAGAGACAUUUGAUUCCAAAGCCCGUGUACUUGUAGUCAUGUAUUGCUGUCUCCUCCAGUGGCACUUUGAUGGCCAGGGAGAUACUUCUAUGAACGAAGAAGACAGAAAACCCUACCAGAAUUGACUGAAAAGUUGAGCGAGGGGCAGGAAAGAAAAAGAGGUGGC
Symphalangus syndactylus (siamang) is the source of this 2652-nucleotide long non-coding RNA. RefSeq lists it as uncharacterized. The record is from RefSeq and is a predicted model, not a curated record. NCBI's taxonomy places the organism in Eukaryota, Metazoa, Chordata, Mammalia, Primates, Hylobatidae.